GAUGAACGCUAGCGGCAGGCCUAAUACAUGCAAGUCGAGGGGCAGCAUUUUCUUCGGAAAGAUGGCGACCGGCGCACGGGUGCGUAACGCGUAUGCAACCUACCUAUCACAGAGGGAUAGCCCGAAGAAAUUUGGAUUAAUACCUCAUAGUAUCAUUGAGUCACCUGGCUCUGAUGAUUAAAACUUUGGUGGUGAUAGAUGGGCAUGCGUGCCAUUAGCUAGUUGGUAAGGUAACGGCUUACCAAGGCUACGAUGGCUAGCGGGUCUGAGAGGAUGAUCCGCCACACUGGUACUGAGACACGGACCAG
RNAcentral lists this ribosomal RNA (308 nucleotides) under uncultured bacterium. RNAcentral's name for it is "bacterial SSU rRNA". It matches the Rfam family "Bacterial small subunit ribosomal RNA", at positions 28 to 334 of the family's 1533-position model. The record is from RNAcentral.